Molecule: non-coding RNA, 341 nt
Filed under: Pan troglodytes (chimpanzee)
Lineage: Eukaryota; Metazoa; Chordata; Mammalia; Primates; Hominidae
Source: RNAcentral
GGAGGCACAGACGGGGGCCCGUGGGGGCAGGACGGCAGCCUCCCCGAGGCACAUGGCCGAGUGCUGAGCUGGGAAGGCAUCGUCGUAACGCCCUGGAGGGCCAGACUUGAAAUGAGAACUCUUAGAAAACCACACCAGAGCACAGCCCACCUCCCUUCUCUUCCCUGACUGUGCCCCCCAGCAGAGGACCCUGGCCCACAGCCAAGCCACAUCCAUGCCACUCCUGCGAACAGCCACUUGUAACUAAGUAUGGGGAACCGAGGAAAUGUUACUAAGACAACUUGGUGGGGAGGGAGCCAGUGUUCACAGCCCCUAUGAUCCCUUUACAGUUUCUGAGCACA